RNAcentral lists this transfer RNA (61 nucleotides) under Busonia albilateralis. RNAcentral's name for it is "tRNA-Pro". The record is from RNAcentral. Lineage: Eukaryota; Metazoa; Arthropoda; Insecta; Hemiptera; Cicadellidae.
UCAACAAAUAGUUUAAAAAAAAUAUAAAUUUUGGAGAUUUAAGAUGUUUUUCUUUGUUGAU